Molecule: transfer RNA, 70 nt
Filed under: Loxodonta africana (African savanna elephant)
Lineage: Eukaryota; Metazoa; Chordata; Mammalia; Proboscidea; Elephantidae
Rfam family: tRNA
About the family: Transfer RNA (tRNA) molecules are approximately 80 nucleotides in length. Their secondary structure includes four short double-helical elements and three loops (D, anti-codon, and T loops).
Source: Rfam by way of RNAcentral
GCAAUGGUGGUUCAGUGGUAGAAUCCCAUGUUCCAUGUGGGAGACUCGGGUUCGAUUCCUGGCCAAUGUA